Molecule: RNA transcript, 5319 nt
Organism: Dermochelys coriacea (leatherback sea turtle)
Lineage: Eukaryota; Metazoa; Chordata; Testudines; Dermochelyidae
Gene: USP42
Gene name: ubiquitin specific peptidase 42
Exons: 19
Source: RefSeq, a predicted model, not a curated record
CCCGGAUGCAGGAGGCCGGCGGAGGGACGUCAUUGUUCCCCGACGGGCUGGCACAGGAGGCGGAGCGGCCGGGUUGAGGCGGGCGCUGCGGAGAAGGGGACCCGGCAGCACCGAGCCGAGCGGGGCCGAGCUAGAGAUGAACAAUGACCAUAGUUGACAAAGUAUCUGAGUCUUCAAACCCUGCAGCUUGUCAGAAACAGCCUUGUAGCUCCGUGGUACCCUCUACUGGAGACAUGGACUCAGCCUCUGCAAGUUGGGGUGCUGUAUCGUCGUUGGAAGUUCCAAAGCACAAGAUCACUUUGGGACCUGUACCUGGUGCUGCAGUUUAUUCUAGUUCAUCUGUACCUGAUAAAUCCAAGCCUUCAGUUCAGAAAGAUCAAUCUAUUGGUGAUGGCAUUGCUCCGCCACAGAAGGUUCUUUUUCCAGCAGAGAAGAUUUGUCUGAAAUGGCAGCAAACGCAUAGAGUUGGAGCUGGACUCCAAAAUCUUGGCAAUACAUGUUUCCUCAACUCUGCUCUUCAGUGUUUGACUUAUACACCCCCUCUUGCCAACUACAUGCUUUCUCAUGAACACUCAAAAACAUGCCAUGAACAAGGAUUCUGCAUGAUGUGUACAAUGCAAGCUCACAUUACCCAGGCGCUCUCUAACUCUGGCAAUGUCAUCAAACCUAUGGCUGUCAUCAAUGAUCUUAGACGGAUAGCAAAACAUUUCCGGUUUGGAAAUCAGGAAGAUGCACAUGAAUUUCUACGCUACACUGUUGAUGCUAUGCAGAAAGCAUGUUUGAAUGGAAGCAACAAAUUGGACAGACAUACCCAGGCUACCACACUCGUCUAUCAAAUAUUUGGAGGGUACUUAAGAUCAAGAGUAAAGUGUAUGAACUGCAAAGGAGUCUCAGAUACCUUUGAUCCGUACCUUGAUAUUACAUUGGAGAUAAAGACAGCUCAAAGCGUAAACAAAGCUCUGGAACAGUUUGUGAAGCCUGAACAACUGGAUGGUGAAAAUGCCUAUAAAUGUAGCAAGUGUAAGAAGAUGGUUCCUGCUUCAAAGAGGUUUACAAUACAUCGUUCUUCUAAUGUUCUUACACUGUCUCUGAAACGGUUUGCAAAUUUUAGUGGUGGAAAAAUUACCAAGGAAGUGAAAUAUCCUGAGUAUCUGGAUAUUCGACCAUAUAUGUCUCAACCAAAUGGAGAACCAAUCAUUUAUGUUCUAUAUGCAGUCCUGGUGCAUACUGGUUUCAGUUGUCAUGCAGGACACUACUACUGCUAUAUAAAGGCCAGUAAUGGGCAAUGGUACCAGAUGAAUGAUUCUGUUGUGUCCAACAGUGACAUCAGAUCUGUGCUCAAUCAGCAAGCUUAUGUGCUCUUUUAUAUCAGGUCCCAUGAUAUGAAAAAUGGAGGAGAACACCCUCAUUCUAUUCAUACACCAGGACAGUCUUCUCCCCGUCCAGUUAUCAAUCAGCGGGUGGUUAAUAGCAGGCAGGGGGCAUCAGGAUUUAUUGGACCACAGCUUCCUCCUCACAUGAUUAAGAAUUCCAGUCAUUUAAAUGGAACUGGAUCACUGAAAGAAACUCCAAGCAGUUCUGUGGCAAGUGCUAGCAAUGUUACCCUAAACAGACCAGCUUCAGCUCCACCUUCAACUUCCAUUCAAAACUGGACAAUUAACAGACCCAUUAUUCCUGACCCUUCGAAAAAACAGAAAAUCACUAUCAGUAUUCACAAUAACAAAUUGCCUGCUCGCCAAACUCUGUCUCAACCCAACCUUCAUAAUUCUUUGGAGAAUCUCAGCAAACCUGUUCCUUCGUCCACGAUUACGAAUUCCUCUGCAGUAAAGUCUACCUCAAAUGCACCUACAAUGUCAGUUGCUACUAAAGUAUCUAAACAAACAGCUCCUAGUGACUCUUGUUCUAAGCCAUUAAUGAAUGGCAAGUCUAAACUAAACUCUAGUACGUUGGUCCCUUACGGUGCAGAAUCUUCAGAAGAAUCUGAUGAGGAGUCGAAGGGACUAGUUAAGGAGAAUGGCCACUCAAAAUCCUUUAAUGGAAUUUUGAUUGGAAAUGUAGUUAGUACAUUACAGAACUCUUGUUCUUCCUGUCAAAAUGCUGAAGAGGCUGUAUCCCAGCAUGAACUGCCAAAAAAUGUUACAGUUAAUGGUGCUAUUAGUAUAGAUAGUGAUCCUGAAGAAAAUGGAUUGAAAUUUGAAGAAUCUACUUGCCAAGUCAAGCCUGUUAAAUCUACAGAAAUUCCAUUUCCUAAAGUGAAUGGAUUGCAUGGAAAAAUAAUACCUACAGCUUUGCCACCAGUUCCUGAAGAUAGGAUUUUAGAGUCUUUCCGAUAUAACCAGUUGAAAAGCUUGUCAGAGGAAAUAAGUGCAACUGGACUUGAAAAAACUUCUGAAAGUGAUGGUCAUAUAGAAACUUUAGUCGGUGGCAACAAUACUGUUUCCUAUGAGAAGUCUAGUAAAGUUCCCGCUAACCUUAGCUGCAAUGUCCAGAAUCCCUUUACUGCAUCAGAUCCCGAGACCAUUUCUACCAAAGAAGAAAUUGCCGAAAGUAUUGUAUCAAAAACUGAUCAUGCACAUUCUGAUAUCAGUGGUCAGUGUAACACUAAGAAAAUAUCCCUGGGAAUUGAUGAUGAAUUCUCUAAACAGUGUGAUACUAAGGAUUAUGCAGAUAAGAUGAUAGGAACACAAGAGGUAAAAAUGACUUUGAAAGAGAGCCCUCUGCACAUCAGAGGGUCUGCUGAGACUGCAGAGAAAUUGGGGCAAAGUCCCUUCAUAAAGUCUGACAAUGAAUGUAGUUCUAAAAAACUUGCAGCUCUAAACAUUAUAGAUAAAUGCCAAGAAACAAAGGAGAGUGCUAAUAAUUACACAGAUGUACCACCUACUAAUGAUUCUUCUGCUACAAGGUUGAAUAAAGUUUUAGAGAGUCAUUCUAAAGAAAACAAUGGACUGGAUGGUAAUGAAAUAUGUGAAGAAAAUAAGGAUAGGCAAAAAUUUAAGUCUCAUUCUCCAAUUAAGGAAAAAAAUUGCACCCCCAAAAAAAUUGACAAAGGGCAUUACCGUACUAAAAGAGAGCGCUCUGAAAAUGAAGAGCAGGAGAAGCAAAUCAAAAGCAAACCAGAUGAUGAUUAUUCCAAAAAAAGGCAAUCCUAUAGCAAGGAGAGUACGAAGCAAGAUCGCCAUAAGCAGGAGCACUGCAAUGGAAAUAAGAACAAACUUAUACAUAGUGAAAGAAACAGCCCUGAUAAUGGCAGAAGUUUAGGAAAAUACACCCAUUAUAGAUCCCGAAGUAGAGGGAAAACUGAUCAGGAGAGGAGUAGAUAUUACCAUUCUAAAAGGGAAAGAUCUUGGAGUAGGGAAAGAUAUUACCAAGAUAUGCCAAGGAGAUGGGACAAGUGCAGAUAUUACAACGAUUAUCCUUCUUAUGCAGCAAGAGAUGGUAGAGACAGAAAAUUCUUUCAUGGGGACAGAGACUAUGACAAAUCAAGUCAGGUUUACAACAGUAGGUCAUAUAGGGAUUAUUAUUACACAAGCAGAUGGAAUCAUGAACCAGUAGCUAAAGAGAGAGAGAAACAUCAUUUCGGCAGCUCCAAAAUAGACUUGUAUAAUUGCUCAGCUCCCUCUCAGCACUCUGAAAAAUAUUCCCAUGAAAAAUGUGCAUCCAUGUCUGAAGAAAACAAUAUAAGUUUUGAGACGUCUUGCCACAAAUAUGAAUAUCUAAAAGACAGAAAAAGAAAAUGUGCUAGUCUAGAAAGUAGUGACAGUGAUAUGGAAAAGAAACAGAGAAGGAGUUUGCAGAGUGAGCCAACGGAAGAGCAAAAAGUGAAAAAACACAAGAAGUCAAAGAAAAAAAAGAAGUCCAAAGAUAAACACCGAGAGAAAGAUGACAGACAUCACCAGGAUUCAGACUUCUCUGGGGCCUGCUCUGAUUCUGACAUCCACAAACAUAAGAAAAAGAAGAAGAAAAAGAAGAAACAUACAAAGAAAUCUGAGGGGUUUAUUGAAUAUUUAGAUCCUAAUAUCCAGAAGGCUGUUGGUUCUGAGGCUAAUAAGACAUGGGAGAAAAAAGAAUUUCAUUGUACAGAUGACCCUCCAUCUGAAGAAUAUAGUAAACAUGGGAGUAAAUGGCCUCAUGAGGGAGGGGAUGCUGAUUCCUGUCAUAAAACAAAAUACAUAGGAGGAGACCAGGAAAAUAGCUAUCACAUAUCUAAAGAGUAUAGCAAAGCUAUAGAGCUACCUUGUCAUAAGGACCAUGAACACACAGUCAUUAAAUCUUUGGAUGGCAACUUUGCAUACACAGAUGAAACCAGAUGGAAACACAGUAGUGCUCUGCAAAGUAGCAACUGAAUUACACUGGUUUUAUAACAAUUGAGAUCUUGUCAACCUGUUUUCCUCUCUUGUAGAUUCAAAGUGUGUUGAUGGAAGCCAUCCCUACAGUUUAAACUCUAUUUAUAACAGAACAAUUAACUCUUCAGUCCAUAAGUGGUGCUUCAGAAUACUGUACAGGAUUUUACCAUGGAAGAACUUUUUUUAGUUUUUACCUUGAGACUUUUUUUAAAAAAUUUACCCAUAAUCCAAAAGGAUGGAAACUUUCUACAACUGCUGAACAUUGUAAAUAUCACACUGAAAAUAAUGCCCUGGAAUAGAACAUCUCAAAUGCUGCUUAAUUACAGACUCAGGUUGAUUAUGUGUUGUUCAUGUAAUAUUACUCCACGUUAAACUUCUGGUGCAAGCGACUAGAAAACCACAACUGACAGUCUGUAUAUUUAAUUUAAAUACUUAUUUAAAAUUUCACAAGCUUUCAGAUAACUAGAAUAUCUCUGAUAUCUGACACUAGAAACUAAUUUACUUCACACUUUAGCUGUAUUCAAGCUUUGAAGAAAAACUUACAGAAAAGUUCUGGUUUGGAACUUUGUGAAACAUACCACUCAUCAUACACAGUUCUGAAUGUAUCUCUGACUAUUUGUAUACCCUCCCAUAUGUUUUGUUACUUUUUUUUUAUAUAGUGUCACUUGUCUUGACUGAUUAGUCUGUCUGUUUUGUCCCUUUAAAGUUACAGACAAAUUCAUACUGUGAUUUUAUUUUUAUUAUUAAAUGCUAUCAAACUGUGAUACUUAUUAUUCACUGGUCCUGCAUCAGGAGAUGGAGUGGGGAAGCUGUAUUAAAUACAGUUCAUCUGUAUAAUCUGUCUGGUUUAUACAAGCUGUGUUGUUCAGAGAUGUCUAAAAUUUGAUCUUGUUUUUUUUAAAGAUAAAGCACUUGCCCCACUGUAAAUACAUAGCAUGUAAAAUUUAUAUAGUAUAUAAAUACAGGAAAGUCAAAA